Non-coding RNA from Acanthosepion pharaonis, 111 nucleotides. NCBI's taxonomy places the organism in Eukaryota, Metazoa, Mollusca, Cephalopoda, Sepiida, Sepiidae. The record is from the annotation of a GenBank genome assembly.
UGGCGAUAUCACAUUGAAACAUCAGUUCCCAUAUGAUCACUGAAGUUAAGCAACAUUGAGACUGGUCAGUACCUAGAGGGGUGACUGCUUAAGAAUACAAAGUGCUGUAAG